This 448-nucleotide ribosomal RNA is filed under the name uncultured bacterium. Its description in RNAcentral is "bacterial SSU rRNA". It matches the Rfam family "Bacterial small subunit ribosomal RNA", at positions 355 to 796 of the family's 1533-position model. The record is from RNAcentral.
UGGGGAAUCUUGCGCAAUGGGCGAAAGCCUGACGCAGCGACGCCGCGUGAGCGAUGAAGGCCUUCGGGUUGUAAAGCUCUGUGGGGAGAGAAGAAUAAGUUCCGGCUAAUAUCCGGAGCGAUGACGGUAUCUCCUUAGCAAGCACCGGCUAACUCUGUGCCAGCAGCCGCGGUAAGACAGAGGGUGCAAACGUUGUUCGGAAUUACUGGGCGUAAAGCGCGUGUAGGCGGCAAGGCAAGUCGGAUGUGAAAGCCCACGGCUCAACCGUGGAAGUGCACCCGAAACUGCCUAGCUAGAGUCUCGGAGAGGAAGGUGGAAUGCUUGGUGUAGAGGUGAAAUUCGUAGAUAUCAAGCGGAACACCGGUGGCGAAGGCGGCCUUCUGGACGAUGACUGACGCUGAGACGCGAAAGCGUGGGGAGCAAACAGGAUUAGAUACCCCCGUAGUCC